AUUGAACGCUGGCGGCAGGCCUAACACAUGCAAGUCGAGCGGAUGAAGGGAGCUUGCUCCUGGAUUCAGCGGCGGACGGGUGAGUAAUGCCUAGGAAUCUGCCUGGUAGUGGGGGAUAACGUCCGGAAACGGGCGCUAAUACCGCAUACGUCCUGAGGGAGAAAGUGGGGGAUCUUCGGACCUCACGCUAUCAGAUGAGCCUAGGUCGGAUUAGCUAGUUGGUGGGGUAAAGGCCUACCAAGGCGACGAUCCGUAACUGGUCUGAGAGGAUGAUCAGUCACACUGGAACUGAGACACGGUCCAGACUCCUACGGGAGGCAGCAGUAGGGAAUAUUGGGCAAUGGGCGAAAGCCUGAUCCAGCAAUGCCGCGUGUGUGAAGAAGGUCUUCGGAUUGUAAAGCACUUUAAGUUGGGAGGAAGGGCAGUAAGUUAAUACCUUGCUGUUUUGACGGUACCAACAGAAUAAGCACCGGCUAACUUCGUG
This 484-nucleotide ribosomal RNA is filed under the name uncultured bacterium. RNAcentral describes it as "partial 16S ribosomal RNA". It matches the Rfam family "Bacterial small subunit ribosomal RNA", at positions 30 to 507 of the family's 1533-position model. The record is from RNAcentral.